RNAcentral lists this non-coding RNA (24 nucleotides) under Cricetulus griseus (Chinese hamster). The record is from RNAcentral. Lineage: Eukaryota; Metazoa; Chordata; Mammalia; Rodentia; Cricetidae.
GUAUUGAAUACUCUGCAGCAGGCC